CAGAAUGCUAAUACCGCAUGACAUAUCGGAACCACAUGGUUUUGAUAUCAAAGAUUUUAUCGCUUGAAGAUGGACUCGCGUCCGAUUAGUUAGUUGGUGAGGUAACGGCUCACCAAGACCGCGAUCGGUAGCCGGACUGAGAGGUUGAACGGCCACAUUGGGACUGAGACACGGCCCAGACUCCUACGGGAGGCAGCAGUGGGGGAUAUUGCGCAAUGGGGGCAACCCUGACGCAGCAACGCCGCGUGAAGGAUGAAGGUUUUCGGAUUGUAAACUUCUUUUAUUAAGGACGAAACUUGACGGUACUUAAUGAAUAAGCUCCGGCUAACUACGUGCCAGCAGCCGCGGUAAUACGUAGGGAGCAAGCGUUGUCCGGAUUUACUGGGUGUAAAGGGUGCGUAGGCGGCUUUGCAAGUCAGAUGUGAAAUCUAUGGGCUCAACCCAUAAACUGCAUUUGAAACUGUAGAGCUUGAGUGAAGUAGAGGCAGGCGGAAUUCCCCGUGUAGCGGUGAAAUGCGUAGAGAUGGGGAGGAACACCAGUGGCGAAGGCGGCCUGCUGGGCUUUAACUGACGCUGAGGCACGAAAGCGUGGGUAGCAAACAGGAUUAGAUACCCUGGUAGUCCACGCUGUAAACGAUGAUUACUAGGUGUGGGGGGUCUGA
Molecule: ribosomal RNA, 662 nt
Filed under: uncultured bacterium
Lineage: Bacteria
Description: bacterial SSU rRNA
Rfam family: Bacterial small subunit ribosomal RNA
Source: RNAcentral